CCCACAUCGAUGACACGGUGACGUUCAACGGUAGACUAACCCCCGAGAAGACUAAUUGGAUGAAGAUUUCCGAUUGCGGCCUGGUACUGGAGGAACAACCCGGCAAGCUGGCCGAAGCGUUCCGACUUUUCCUCCAGGGAGAAGGCUACGCUGUCGGAGCUUUGCAAAAGAUAGGCAAACUGUCUCGCGCGGGCACAGUAGAAAGUUUGUCCCCCUAGAAAGCCGCCGAUUCCCGAUCCCGUUCUCGGUCUUCCUCAAGAGGGAUCUUGCUUGUAGGAGAGUUUACUGCAUUUCCUGGCAUCCAUAAUUGCAGGCCUUUCCUGUCACAUGUAGGAUGCGGUUUCCCGCACUCGCGACAUCCUCUAAUAUUGUAUUGCAAAAAUCGUAUUAACCAACUGCGCUGCAGAGAAGUAUUUAACACAAAAAAUCUAAACACGUUUUAGAUUAAUAUAAGCGGGUUUCGAGUUGGUUAAAUGAUUCUGCAAUAUUUAUGCAACACGCAUAGAUUCAUGCUUUACGACCUAUUUUUCCAAAAUCAAUCAAACGAAAAGCCGCGCAUCGAACGUCGAGCAGUGAGUGAAACUUGUGGUAACGAUACAUUUAGGUGUCCACAACAAAGUCUACCUGCACAAAAUCGGUCUGCAUGAACCAAAGAUUGGCUUAAUUUUUCCGAAAGUAAGAUGAUCUUAUAAAAAUCCCUAAGUUUUUAAAAUAAUAUCGAUUUGAAUUAAAUGAAAUGAUUGAACGGUUAGUGAAGAACGUUCCCUAGUUCGGACAACUUUUAUACGAUCAGCGGGGUAGAUUGUGGAACUGUAUCGAUUCUGCUACUGCGGGUGCCAUUGUCUGACCGAACAAUUAGGAUAGCUUAGUUAAUGAUUUGAAAUGCCAUUUUCAAAGUGUGGAAAUAAUUGCGAAACAAUUAUUAUCGAGUUCGGAAAACGAGUUUACACGCACUCACUCACUCGGUUGCAGUGAGAAGCAGUGAAGUAGUACUAGGCUACGCCUCAUCACGCUGGUCUUCCACCGAGCAGGUUGUGCCACUGAAAUGCACAAAACACAAGCAGGACGGGUAUUGCGGGUAAAUCAAUUUCAUUUACACUAAAUAAAAAAUUCCUGAAGAAAAUGUAGCAAUUCAUAGGCCAUUUCAUUCGAGUAAAAAUAAUGUUUUAACACACUACGUAGAAAAUCAAUGCUAUUGCUUAUCUUUUUGGUAAAUUGCUAGUGCAGGGCAAUGCUUCUGCACGUCGAACAAACAUCGUUUUUGCUUAAUGUAAAAAUAACAGCCCGUAGAGUUAGUGAAAUUCCACUCCCUGCGUUAUCUGAGCAGAUCCAUAAGUUCGACUGCGAAGCGAGCUAAACCGUUCGUGGAAUGUGUAUUUUCUUUUCACAGUCUCGAAGAAAAUUGCAUCCCCCACUAAAGCAAAGGCACCGGCCGGUGUCUAAACUCUGUAUCCUGAGCUUUACGCUUUAUGAGCCGUCGAUCGCUAUACUGCGCUUUUCGUCUUUGGUUAUUUGCGUUCGAAUAAUUUCCUUGCUUGUUGCUACGGGGCACCGCGAUGCGGUGCGCAACGCUCCGAUUUUCUACGUUUAUCUUUUAUCGAAUCAUCUACCUUUUUCUUGUAUCGAGAAUUAUUUUAUUAUGUUAUUGUAAGUUUCUUUGCGUGGCCGCCUUCAGUUCGCAUGAUUUUUAAAACAUUGACGGCACCAAUGCGCUUUGUGUUUUUCGUAGUUUUAUUUUGUAUUUUAUGUUAUGUCAAAAAUUGUAUAUUGUAAUUUGAUAUGGAAUAAAUUGUUAAA
This is a long non-coding RNA of Anopheles cruzii, 1797 nucleotides long. RefSeq lists it as uncharacterized. Lineage: Eukaryota; Metazoa; Arthropoda; Insecta; Diptera; Culicidae. The transcript is spliced from 3 exons. The record is from RefSeq and is a predicted model, not a curated record.